GAUGAACGCUAGCGGCAGGCCUAAUACAUGCAGGUCGGACGGGAUUCAGGAGCUUGCUUCUGAUGAGAGUGGCGCACGGGUGCGUAACACGUAUGUAACCUACCUUUAUCAGGGGGAUAGCCUCUCGAAAGAGAGAUUAAGCCCGCAUAAAAUCACAGCACAGCAUUGUGUAAUGAUCAAAUAUUUAUAGGAUAAAGAUGGGCAUGCGGAACAUUAGCUAGAUGGCGGGGUAACGGCCCACCAUGGCGACGAUGUUUAGGGGAUCUGAGAGGAUGGCCCCCCACACUGGUACUGAGACACGGACCAGACUCCUACGGGAGGCAGCAGUAAGGAAUAUUGGUCAAUGGGCGGAAGCCUGAACCAGCCAUGCCGCGUGCAGGAAGACGGCCCUACGGGUUGUAAACUGCUUUUAUACGGGAAUAAACCCAGAUACGUGUAUCUGGCUGAAUGUACUGUAAGAAUAAGGACCGGCUAACUCCGUG
Molecule: ribosomal RNA, 482 nt
Filed under: uncultured bacterium
Lineage: Bacteria
Description: partial 16S ribosomal RNA
Rfam family: Bacterial small subunit ribosomal RNA
Source: RNAcentral